Molecule: long non-coding RNA, 279 nt
Filed under: Ricinus communis (castor bean)
Lineage: Eukaryota; Viridiplantae; Streptophyta; Magnoliopsida; Malpighiales; Euphorbiaceae
Description: long non-coding RNA (RCOM_LNC003611)
Source: RNAcentral
GUUGCAACAUUAUGUGGAGCUUGAGGAGUUAGUUCACCUUGCAAUUAAGGUGGAAAAGCAACUAAAACCUAGAGGGACAACAAGGUUUGAAUAUAAGGGCACUUCGAGUGGGAGGCCACAUUGGUCUAAUUCUUGGAAAGGAGGUAAGAAAGGUGAUGAUAAGGUUAUUCCCAAUGACAACAAAGGGAAAAGCAUUUCAGGCAACAAAGACACAUCUAAACCAGAAAUUAACAAAGAAAAGAAUAGAGACAUCAAGUGUUUCAAAUGCUUGGGGCGUGG